GACGAACGCUGGCGGCGUGCUUAACACAUGCAAGUCGUACGGUAAGGCCCUUUCGGUGGUCCACGAGUGGCGAACGGGUGAGUAACACGUGAGUAACCUGCCCACAACUUUGGGAUAACGCUAGGAAACUGGUGCUAAUACUGGAUAUGUGCUCCUGCUUCAUGGUGGGGGUUGGAAAGCUCCGGCGGUUGUGGAUGGACUCGCGGCCUAUCGGCUUGUUGGUGGGGUAGUGGCCUACCAAGGCGGCGACGGGUAGCCGGCCUGAGAGGGUGACCGGCCACAUUGGGACUGAGAUACGGCCCAGACUCCUACGGGAGGCAGCAGUGGGGAAUAUUGCACAAUGGGCGCAAGCCUGAUGCAGCAACGCCGCGUGCGGGAUGACGGCCUUCGGGUUGUAAACCGCUUUCAGCAGGGACGAAGCUUUUUGUGACGGUACCUGCAGAAGAAGCACCGGCUAACUACGUG
Molecule: ribosomal RNA, 465 nt
Filed under: uncultured bacterium
Lineage: Bacteria
Description: partial 16S ribosomal RNA
Rfam family: Bacterial small subunit ribosomal RNA
Source: RNAcentral